RNA transcript from Triticum dicoccoides, 2842 nucleotides. It is a transcript of the gene named aspartate--tRNA ligase 2, cytoplasmic-like, with no coding region annotated. The transcript is spliced from 5 exons. The record is from RefSeq and is a predicted model, not a curated record. Lineage: Eukaryota; Viridiplantae; Streptophyta; Magnoliopsida; Poales; Poaceae.
CUUCCCCGCCGCCGCCCGGCCUCCUCCCAACCCGGGCCUCCCUCUCCUCCUUCCCCGUCGCCGCCCGGCCUCCUCCCCACCCGCGCCUCCCUCUCUCUCCUUCCAAACCCUAGACCACCUCCCUGCCCCGUCCCCGUCGCCGAGGAGGAGCUCGCGCUCGGGGAGGACGAGGAGACGGCCGCCUUCGUGGAGCAGCAGAAGGAGGAGGGGCACGCGGUGGCGGCGACCAAGAGGCGCAUGGCGCAGCCGACCAAGAAGGCCAGGAACAUGGCCACCAGCGACAAGGAGCCCGAGUUCCUUGACGAGCCGUCCUCACCGACGAGGCCCGCUACAGGGAUGGAUGAGAGGAUGUGAGGUGGAUAUUCAGGUCAGGAAGCUCUACUGCAUCAACAGGGCUGGCCCGAAGCUACCAAUCAGCAUGGAGGAUGCCAGACGGAGUGCUGAGGAGUUUGCAAUAGCUGAAUCAAAGGGAGUGCCACUUGUCCAUGUUGGUCAGGACACACGCUUGGACUAUCGAGUUAUUGAUGUCCGAACACUGGCAAAUCAAGCCAUUUUCCAUAUACAGCAUCAAGUUGAAAACAUUGGUAUUUGUUCUUGCCUUUAGGACUGCUGCUAUCAGUGAUGUGUUGAUGAACUGAGUUUGCAGAACUAAACAUAUCAUGUUAUGUAAUUUUCUGUGUCGCUUAGCUAAGAUAUUCUACUUCGACACUGAAUUAAACAUAUCUAAUCUGGUGAACCCUUUGACUAGUUGUGCCAAAGCAUGCCAUUGGCUGGCCUGCUGAAUUGGGAUUUCAGUGGUCAUUUUGGGUGGUUGUUUAGGUGGAGUGUGCCUGAGCAGCCACCGUAGCGGCACUUAGUGGUGGACUGUCGCUGCUUGUUGUAUCGUAAUGACGUGGAUGGGCGCUUCUAUAAUGAUAUACAUGCUUGUGUGUAUUAUAGAAAAAUAAAAUCUUUCAGUCUCAACCUAUAAUCAUUUUGUACAAAAAAAGCAUGCACUGUGCUGGACUUUUAAGUUGCUUCCGGAUACAAAUUGAUUAAGUGAUCUUAAUGUGAUGCCUGCAGUGCAUGCCAUACAAUUCUGGAUUACACUAAUGAUCAAAUUGAGUUUAACAUUCUGCAUCCAAUAUUGGAUUUAUCAAGCCAAUGCAUAUGCUUUUACAAAAGCUGCUUUGUGAAGGCUUCAGACAUUAUUUUCUAUGCAUUUCUGGAGCAUGUGAUGUUUUUUUCAUGCUUUGAGUCUAAAUAUUUACCAUUGUUCAUGCUUUGAGUCUAAAUAUACACCAUCGGCAUUCGUCGCCUUCAUCCCGGACCUCCCCAUGUUGUCUUUGUACUGCCCAACAGUACAUCAUAUGCUUCUCCUCCAUGGUCGAUUGUUCACUAGGCUGGCCCAUGGAAGCACCACCGCUCAGGUCAACGGUUUCACAGACGCUUAUGUUUGUUCAUUUAGCGUGUGGUUAGUAAAUCGACAUUUUCUUUGGCAAUUAGGGUAGGAUGAUUUACUUCUAUAUCGUCUGGAUCAUGUUUAGUAUUUUUCUUCUAAGAUACUUUAUUAUUCUUUACGUUUGUAAUUGCAACAAAGUGAGUUUUGUAGGUUCAGAGAGAAAUCUUCUAGAUUUUUGGACCACACCUUUAUUUUCUUAACAACUCAUGACAUACCACAUAGUAAUUUUGAUUUUUCAUCUGGAUGUUAUACUUCACAAGAUCUACAAUCUGCACACAACUCGUGUUUGCUGUUUAGUCUUGAUAAUUCUUGAAACAUUUCCAUGUUUUUUUCUGUUACAGAGCUUCUGAUGUCGUAUCUAUACUCAUGCUUAAAAGAUGCUCCCUCCGUAACCAAAUAUAAAACGUCUUUGUAGUUAAGUUUGAACAGCAAAAACAUAUUGUAUUUAGUUACAAAGGUAGUACUUGUCUUGGUUGAUUGCUUUACGAAGAAAUUUGACCUUUUUAGACUGAAGAUAUGGAUUUAUGAUAGUUUCGAGAUGAGAGGAGAAAAUGAUAAGUUUGGAAAAUGAUGAAACUUCCAAAAUUAUGACAGUUUGCUUCAGCAUGUGAUUAGGUUACACUCCUAGGAGAUAAAUGUUCUUCUGUAAUUUUAGUUUCAAGUACUUUUGAUUAAUAAUAAGAAGGAUAUGUAUUUAGGUAAUGUUUUCUAAUACUAUUAUUUAGGUGAUACAAAUCAAUAUCUUGCUAUCUUUAUUGUGCAGUGGCCUUAGCGCUGGACCAUGAGGUUGGAUAGGGAAAGCAUGUGUAUUCUUUAAUUAUUGGAGGCUUUCAUAUUCAUAUAUCAAUACAAGGCGGGAUAUGAUGCAGCAAUUGGGAAGGAUCGUCCUGUAUUAUCUAUCAUGGUUAUUAGCUAGCAAGAGUGAUGCCACAAGUGGAUCUUCCCAGUAAAUUUGUUAAUUACUUCCUUGCAAGAAUGACAGAGUUUUAAAAUCAGAAUGGGGCAAUAAAUGUGUCUACUAUGACAAAGUGAAGACAAAACGAAUGCAUCGAGUUACUAAUGCAGUGGUUUUCAAGGUUGGACAUUGAUAUCAACUAUGAUUAUUUAAUAGAGAAAUUCUGUUCAUAUGAAGCGAAAGAAAAGCAUGCAGUACCUUACAUUGACAGUGCUUAUUAGGCCAUUGUGGUACUUCAAAUUCUGAUAAAGAAUAUAUUUCAUGACCGAGAUUUGGGAUUUGGAGAAUCUCAAUUCUGAUAUGUACAUGCAUCUCCUUUUAUUUUGUCACGCUACUGAAUGUUCUGAUAUGGGACUACUUACUCUGUGUAUCUCUUAUAUAUAAUAAAAUUGUCUAUAUGUAAACUUUUCCUAUUUUAAUUCUAUUAUGUUGUUGAUGACGAAUGG